UGAACGCUAGCUACAGGCUUAACACAUGCAAGUCGAGGGGCAGCAGAUCGAAAGCUUGCUUUGAUGCUGGCGACCGGCGCACGGGUGAGUAACGCGUAUCCAACCUUCCCUGUAGUAGAGAAUAGCCCGGCGAAAGUCGGAUUAAUGCUCUAUGUUGUAUUUCGAUGACAUCUGAAGAAUACCAAAGGUUUACCGCUAUAGGAUGGGGAUGCGUCUGAUUAGGUUGUUGGCGGGGUAACGGCCCACCAAGCCCACGAUCAGUAGGGGUUCUGAGAGGAAGGUCCCCCACAUUGGAACUGAGACACGGUCCAAACUCCUACGGGAGGCAGCAGUGAGGAAUAUUGGUCAAUGGACGGAAGUCUGAACCAGCCAAGUAAGCGUGCAGGAUGACGGCCCUAUGGGUUGUAAACUGCUUUUAUAUAGGGAUAAAGUCGGGGACGUGUCCCCGUUUGUAGGUACUAUAUGAAUAAGGACCGGCUAAUUCCGUGCCAGCCGCGGC
This 499-nucleotide ribosomal RNA is filed under the name uncultured bacterium. RNAcentral describes it as "bacterial SSU rRNA". It matches the Rfam family "Bacterial small subunit ribosomal RNA", at positions 30 to 518 of the family's 1533-position model. The record is from RNAcentral.